AAUACAGAGGGGGCAAGCGUUGUUCGGAAUUACUGGGCGUAAAGGGCGCGUAGGUGGCCUUCUAAGUUGAACGUGAAAUCCCUGGGCUCAACCCAGGAACUGCGUCCAAGACUGGGAGGCUUGAAUCCGGGAGAGGGAUGCGGAAUUCCAGGUGUAGCGGUGAAAUGCGUAGAUAUCUGGAGGACACCGGUGGCGAAGGCGGCAUCCUGGACCGGUAUUGACACUGAGGCGCGAAAGCCAGGGGAGCAAACGGGA
Molecule: ribosomal RNA, 255 nt
Filed under: uncultured prokaryote
Description: partial 16S ribosomal RNA
Rfam family: Bacterial small subunit ribosomal RNA
Source: RNAcentral